Molecule: non-coding RNA, 1747 nt
Organism: Lactuca sativa (garden lettuce)
Lineage: Eukaryota; Viridiplantae; Streptophyta; Magnoliopsida; Asterales; Asteraceae
Source: RefSeq, a predicted model, not a curated record
UUACUUUUCUGAACAAAAAAACAAUUUCCUUUUUCCGAGAGAACAUCGGUUCCUCGUAGACGACCUAGGAACAUGUUUGUCAUUUUAUUUCUAAUGUUCACGGAAUCAAGGAGGUACCUUUUGCUUUAUCAUCUACCAUAGACGACCAUGGUUCUGUACAAGUUGAUGCGUCAAUUUGAUUGCUUAUCAAGUUUCUGGUUUACGACAUCUUGAUGUGUUCGACAUAAUACCUCGUUUGUUUCCGAAUCAAUUUUGGUCAGGAGAGCUCACUGGUGUUGGAGAAUAUGGGAAUUCUUCUUCCCCCCAAAUCCCCAAUGCUUUUGGUUCCCGCUUCCCUUCCCGCAACAAUCAUCCCUUUCAGUAAUUCACCACCGUCCUCCUUUCCCUAUUAGACGUCAGUGCCUUAUCACUCCAGUUCUUCUUGUGGUUGGUUUCUGCAGGUAAUUUCGCGUUCUCGCAUUUAAGAGACUCAUUGUUCAUGUCACUUUCAGAAUUUCUUAUUCUGGUGUCAAGAAUCUAGAUAAUACAUAAAGAAAAAUUGGAUAUGGUAUUGUUCUUUUAUUUAUUUUAUUUUUUUCAGUUUUGUAGUUUUGUUAUACUUGUCAAUAAGAUUUUGAAACUGGUCUGUUGUUACUUGCAAGUACUUUGAGUAACUCAAAAAGUCAAGUUUUGGAAGCUGAGUUGUAGCAAAUUGAAUUUUAAUUUUGUGCUAACCAGCUUUGAUUUCGUGAAUAGAGCACACCAUGAACUUAUGCUUAUAAUCAUGUAUUCUUCUAGAUGUAUCCAUUCAUAUAUAAACAAAUGGAAUUUUGAAAAAAAAAAGAGCAGAUGAAUGACAAUCAUUCUUGGAUGAAAUAUGAAUUCACAACAAUUUUGGCUGAAUAAUCUUUCUAGUCAUAUGAACUUGUACUAUCUCCAUUCCAAACAAACACAAACAAAUAAAAUUGGAAUUUCUCUAUUGAUCCAUGGUAUCUUUUGUUGUUUCAUUUAAUUUCUUCAUAAACUUUAUCUAGUCAUCUUGGUUAAAACCCACUUAGCGCAUAAUUAUAUUUUUACAAACAUCCUCUAUGUUGUAUUUGUGUGCGUGUUUCAAGUUUAACAGGAUGAGAUGUUUGAAAUUCAGAAAGAGAUGUAGAAGGGCCAACAAUAUAGUCAAAUAUACUAUAUAAGGUUACACUUGAUCAUAACUCUCAUUUACUCUCUCCUUCCAAACCGGAAACCUCACUUGCCUGUUUGGGGCUAGAAAAAUGCAAAGAGUGCAUUGUUGAUGGAACAAUUUGUAAGGGUUCUAAUGGGUUAUACGAUGACCCGUUCCUGCUUAUUUUCUUGGGGGACCAGCUGCAAAGAAAUGAUAUAUAUUUUGACCUGCUCCUCCACCAUUUGCUAUUCUACAAUUGGGUGGGUUUUGGAUGCUGUUGGGGAGAUGGUUUGGGAUCAGUAGAAUUUUUUUUAUCUAUUGUAAUUUUUCUGUAAAAGAAUUUUUUUAGAUGUAUUUCAUUUAAUAUUGGGAUGUUAUCAUUACCAAAUUCAAUGGAUGAGAUUGUAAGACAAUUGCUUUUGUGAUAUUAAAGAGCCAUCAACUGUUGGAUAACCAAAAAUAAAUUUUGAGUGUUAUGUUGCAAUUUAGCUAAAUUGUCAUCCAAGAUUUGUGGUUAGUUUGGUCAAAUACUUAAAAAAUUCCAUUAUUGGUUUAUUACCAAAUUUAUAUCCAUGGGUUCCAGGAUACAUAUCAAUCAUGACAAAAGCA